RNAcentral lists this long non-coding RNA (1117 nucleotides) under Felis catus (domestic cat). RNAcentral's name for it is "lncRNA (ENSFCAG00000044405.2)". Lineage: Eukaryota; Metazoa; Chordata; Mammalia; Carnivora; Felidae. The record is from RNAcentral.
GGCAGAAUCAAACUACAGCCAACUUAUGGUGAGGAGCUCUUCAAACCAUUACUGAAAUUGCCAUUAAGAUACACCUGCUGCACAAGCACCAUGAGCUCACAUGCUGGAGAGGUAAAUCUGGGUGCUAGACAGCAUGCUGUUCUCAGAAUUGUUCCUCCCUUCACAUAGCUGCUGUUUCAAGGAAAUAUCAUGCCAUGUGUGUGACAGAGAUUGCCAAUGGGCACCAAUGUCUGCAGCUCCCCUUUUUUUCCCGGACACACAGCUAGACAACAUGCCCUGGUCCCAUUUCUCCUUUGCAGUUAGAUGUGGCUUCACAGCUCCUAACGUCGCUCUUGUGUUAUCUUUGAAAAGUGUUUAAAAGACAGUUUGGUAAUGUGUGAUACCUACUGAUUGUCCCAUCCCCAUGGUAUCUGGAUGAUUUUGCCCCUAUUAUCUCUGUCUUAUCACUUUGGAUUCCAUCUCCUGUAGUGUCUCCUCAGGAUGUGGCUUUAUCCCACAAAGGAGCUUCAGUUGGUGAGUUCUGAGAGUUCACUGGGUCCACACCUUUUAUUUCCUUUUAAUCUCCUGCACUCAACUGCACACAGGAGCCUUAAAAGCCCUUUUUGGUUUGGACUGCCAUUCUUAGGCUGGACUACUAUAAUUUCUAGGGAGCACAUGUAGACUAUUUUAGCUUAUUCUGGAUAAUCAGUCAUCAGAGGUCCCAAGCUUCUCCACAGAGUCUGUGAUGUGAUACGGAUCUUGCUGCCUUCAGUGGUUUUCUUCCUGUCCCUCAUAUUGUGAGGCUUGUGGGAAUACUUAGUAUUUUUGUAGAUGUUGUUUGGGGUGUAGGGUUUUGCUCUGCUGGUUGUAGUUUCAGUUUUAUGGGACGAAGUGGAGAAAUUAAAAACAGAGUAAAACAACAACCAAAAAAACCCAAACAAACUAUAUGCCACAGUUAUCAACAGCACAGAAUCCUGAACAAAUACCACUGUGUGGAUACAAUAUAAAGCACAGUGGGUGAAGUGGUACAGGUAGAGGAAUUAUGGAGGUAAAAAUAGGAACAGUAGAUGGGGUUAUUAAAAAUAGUCCAUAGUGCUGGGUAGGAAAUGGGAAGGAAACUGAUGUAUUAAGACACCUG